RNAcentral lists this long non-coding RNA (323 nucleotides) under Arachis ipaensis. RNAcentral's name for it is "long non-coding RNA (AIPA_LNC002367)". The record is from RNAcentral. Lineage: Eukaryota; Viridiplantae; Streptophyta; Magnoliopsida; Fabales; Fabaceae.
UUCUUAUUACGUUAGUAUUUCUCUCAUUUUUUUUGUAUUCUGAGCCUCGUCCACUUAUUGCUACUUCAGUUAAUAAUGCAGCUUCAGCCAAAGAUUCUGGUUCAAGUGAGGAACAUGACGGUGUGCUCCCGUGGUUGUCUUCACUCUUCAUUGAGAAAAACUCACAUAAGACUACUCGUCUUAGUCCUGGCGGGCCUGAUCCACGGCAUCAUUGAUCCCUGAUACCAUAGCUAGUGUCUAAGAAGACACGUCAUGAGGGUCACAAAUAAUAAUCAUUUCUUAAUUAUGAACUACCAGUUAUAAAAUAUGCAAAAAUAAUGCUG